RNAcentral lists this ribosomal RNA (263 nucleotides) under uncultured bacterium. Its description in RNAcentral is "partial 16S ribosomal RNA". It matches the Rfam family "Bacterial small subunit ribosomal RNA", at positions 77 to 339 of the family's 1533-position model. The record is from RNAcentral.
AGCUUGCUCUCUUGAUUAGUGGCGCACGGGUGAGUAAUAUAUAGAUAACGUGCCUCUUAGUCUCGGGAUAGCCAUUGGAAACGAUGAUUAAUACUAGAUACUCCUUCUCUUUAUAAAUGAGAGUCGGGAAAGUUUUUCGCUAAGAGAUCGGUCUAUAUCCCAUUCAGCUUGUUGGUAGUGUAAGAGACUACCAAGGCUAUGACGGGUAGCGGGUUUGAGAGGAUGAUCCGCCACACUGGGUACUGAGACACGGACCAGACUCC